GAGCGGGUUGCUGNCCUCCUAUGUUCCUAACGGUCCUCGUCCGCGAGGGCGGGGAAUCAACCGCUAGGAUCGUUUACUUUGAGGAAAUUAGAGUGUUCAAAGCAGGCGUAACUCGCCUCCGAAUACGUUAGCAUGGGAUAAUGGAAUACGACUUCGGUCUUGUUUCGUUGGUUUCGCUUGGCUGAAGUAAUGAUUGAUAGGGACAGUUGGGGGCAUUAGUAUUUAGUUGUCAGAGGUGAAAUUCUAGGAUUUACUAAAGACUGACCAAUGCGAAAGCAUUUGCCAAGGAUGUUUUCAUUAAUCAAGAACGAAAGUAGGGGGAUCGAAGACGAUCAGAUACCGUCGUAGUCUCUACCGUAAACUAUGCCGACCAGGGAUCCGGAGAGUUUGCAUGGAUGACUCCCCGGGCACCUUGUGAGAAAUCAUAAGUGUUUGGGUUUUGGGGGGAGUAUGGUCGCAAGGCUGAAACUUAAAGGAAUUGACGGAAG
Molecule: ribosomal RNA, 488 nt
Filed under: uncultured eukaryote
Lineage: Eukaryota
Description: SSU rRNA
Rfam family: Eukaryotic small subunit ribosomal RNA
Source: RNAcentral